GCUGGCGGCAGGCCUACACAUGCAAGUCGAGCGGUAGCACAGGGAGCUUGCUCCUGGGUGACGAGCGGCGGACGGGUGAGUAAUGUCUGGGAAACUGCCUGAUGGAGGGGGAUAACUACUGGAAACGGUAGCUAAUACCGCAUAACGUCUUCGGACCAAAGAGGGGGACCUUCGGGCCUCUUGCCAUCAGAUGUGCCCAGAUGGGAUUAGCUAGUAGGUGGGGUAAUGGCUCACCUAGGCGACGAUCCCUAGCUGGUCUGAGAGGAUGACCAGCCACACUGGAACUGAGACACGGUCCAGACUCCUACGGGAGGCAGCAGUGGGGAAUAUUGCACAAUGGGCGCAAGCCUGAUGCAGCCAUGCCGCGUGUAUGAAGAAGGCCUUCGGGUUGUAAAGUACUUUCAGCGAGGAGGAAGGCAUUGUGGUUAAUAACCACAGUGAUUGACGUUACUCGCAGAAGAAGCACCGGCUAACUCCGUGCCAGCAGCCGCGGUAAUACGGAGGGUGCAAGCGUUAAUCGGAAUUACUGGGCGUAAAGCGCACGCAGGCGGUUUGUUAAGUCAGAUGUGAAAUCCCCGGGCUCAACCUGGGAACUGCAUUUGAAACUGGCAAGCUUGAGUCUUGUAGAGGGGGGUAGAAUUCCAGGUGUAGCGGUGAAAUGCGUAGAGAUCUGGAGGAAUACCGGUGGCGAAGGCGGCCCCCUGGACAAAGACUGACG
Molecule: ribosomal RNA, 718 nt
Filed under: uncultured earthworm intestine bacterium
Lineage: Bacteria
Description: bacterial SSU rRNA
Rfam family: Bacterial small subunit ribosomal RNA
Source: RNAcentral